CAUAAAACACAAAUACGCCAUAUAUAGAGAUUAGACGUAUAAU
RNAcentral lists this non-coding RNA (43 nucleotides) under Trypanosoma brucei brucei. The record is from RNAcentral. Lineage: Eukaryota; Euglenozoa; Kinetoplastea; Trypanosomatida; Trypanosomatidae.